CUACGGGAGGCAGCAGUGGGGAAUAUUGCGCAAUGGGGGAAACCCUGACGCAGCAACGCCGCGUGAGUGACGAAGGCCUUCGGGUUGUAAAGCUCUUUCGGUUGGGAAGAAGGGGUAGUCAGUUAAUAAGUGAUUACUUUGAUGGUACCAAAAGAAGAAGCACCGGCAAACUUCGUGCCAGCAGCCGCGGUAAUACGAAGGGUGCGAGCGUUGUUCGGAAUUACUGGGCGUAAAGGGUUCGUAGGCGGGAAUGCAAGUCAAGUGUGAAAUCCCCAGGCUCAACCUGGGACGUGCAUUUGAGACUGUGUUUCUUGAGUUUCGGAGAGGGUGGUGGAAUUGCUGGUGUAGGAGUGACAUCCGUAGAGAUCAGCAGGAACACCGGAGGCGAAGGCGACCACCUGGCCGAAUACUGACGCUGAGGAACGAAAGCGUGGGGAGCAAACAGGAUUAGAUACCCUGGUAGUCCACGCCGUAAACGAUGAUAACUAGGUGUUGGGGGAGUUGACCCCUCCAGUACCGUAGCCCACGCGCUAAGUUAUCCGCCUGGGGAGUACGGUCGCAAGACUAAAACUC
RNAcentral lists this ribosomal RNA (573 nucleotides) under uncultured bacterium. Its description in RNAcentral is "bacterial SSU rRNA". It matches the Rfam family "Bacterial small subunit ribosomal RNA", at positions 339 to 902 of the family's 1533-position model. The record is from RNAcentral.